Molecule: ribosomal RNA, 501 nt
Filed under: uncultured bacterium
Lineage: Bacteria
Description: bacterial SSU rRNA
Rfam family: Bacterial small subunit ribosomal RNA
Source: RNAcentral
GAUGAACGCUAGCGGCAGGCUUAAUACAUGCAAGUCGAGGGGCAGCACGAAUAGCAAUAUUUGGUGGCGACCGGCGCACGGGUGCGUAACACGUAUACAAUCUACCUUAAACAGGGGGAUAGCCUUUCGAAAGAGAGAUUAAUACCCCGUAAUAAAUUGAAUGGCAUCAUUUGAUUUUGAAAGCUCCGGCGGUUUGAGAUGAGUAUGCGUCUGAUUAGCUAGUUGGUGAGGUAACGGCUCACCAAGGCGACGAUCAGUGGGGGAUCUGAGAGGACUAACUCCCACACUGGUACUGAGACACGGACCAGACUCCUACGGGAGGCAGCAGUAAGGAAUAUUGGUCAAUGGAGGCAACUCUGAACCAGCCAUGCCGCGUGCAGGAUGACGGCCCUAUGGGUUGUAAACUGCUUUUAUACAAGAGAAAACCCUGGUACGUGUACCAGGUUGAUAGUAUUGUAAGAAUAAGCAUCGGCUAACUUCGUGCCAGCAGCCGCGGUAAUC